Molecule: ribosomal RNA, 305 nt
Filed under: uncultured bacterium
Lineage: Bacteria
Description: bacterial SSU rRNA
Rfam family: Bacterial small subunit ribosomal RNA
Source: RNAcentral
CCUACGGGGCGCAGCAGUGAGGAAUAUUGGUCAAUGGGAGGAAUCCUGAACCAGCCAUGCCGCGUGCAGGACGACGGCUCUACGAGUUGUAAACUGCUUUUGUACCGGGGUAAAAUGCCUUACGAGCAGGGUUUUGAAAGUACGGUACGAAUAAGGAUCGGCUAACUCCGUGCCAGCAGCCGCGGUAAUACGGAGGAUCCGAGCGUUAUCCGGAUUUAUUGGGUUUAAAGGGUGCGUAGGCGGUCAGGUAAGUUAGAGGUGAAAGCUCGAUGCUCAACAUCGAAACUGCCUCUGAUACUGUCUGA